This 945-nucleotide ribosomal RNA is filed under the name Bacillus sp. BA-59-09. RNAcentral's name for it is "bacterial SSU rRNA". It matches the Rfam family "Bacterial small subunit ribosomal RNA", at positions 60 to 985 of the family's 1533-position model. Lineage: Bacteria; Bacillati; Bacillota; Bacilli; Caryophanales; Bacillaceae. The record is from RNAcentral.
AGUCGAGCGGACAGAUGGGAGCUUGCUCCCUGAUGUUAGCGGCGGACGGGUGAGUAACACGUGGGUAACCUGCCUGUAAGACUGGGAUAACUCCGGGAAACCGGGGCUAAUACCGGAUGGUUGUUUGAACCGCAUGGUUCAAACAUAAAAGGUGGCUUCGGCUACCACUUACAGAUGGACCCGCGGCGCAUUAGCUAGUUGGUGAGGUAAUGGCUCACCAAGGCAACGAUGCGUAGCCGACCUGAGAGGGUGAUCGGCCACACUGGGACUGAGACACGGCCCAGACUCCUACGGGAGGCAGCAGUAGGGAAUCUUCCGCAAUGGACGAAAGUCUGACGGAGCAACGCCGCGUGAGUGAUGAAGGUUUUCGGAUCGUAAAGCUCUGUUGUUAGGGAAGAACAAGUACCGUUCGAAUAGGGCGGUACCUUGACGGUACCUAACCAGAAAGCCACGGCUAACUACGUGCCAGCAGCCGCGGUAAUACGUAGGUGGCAAGCGUUGUCCGGAAUUAUUGGGCGUAAAGGGCUCGCAGGCGGUUUCUUAAGUCUGAUGUGAAAGCCCCCGGCUCAACCGGGGAGGGUCAUUGGAAACUGGGGAACUUGAGUGCAGAAGAGGAGAGUGGAAUUCCACGUGUAGCGGUGAAAUGCGUAGAGAUGUGGAGGAACACCAGUGGCGAAGGCGACUCUCUGGUCUGUAACUGACGCUGAGGAGCGAAAGCGUGGGGAGCGAACAGGAUUAGAUACCCUGGUAGUCCACGCCGUAAACGAUGAGUGCUAAGUGUUAGGGGGUUUCCGCCCCUUAGUGCUGCAGCUAACGCAUUAAGCACUCCGCCUGGGGAGUACGGUCGCAAGACUGAAACUCAAAGGAAUUGACGGGGGCCCGCACAAGCGGUGGAGCAUGUGGUUUAAUUCGAAAGCAACGCGAAGAACCUUACCAGGUCUUGAC